Non-coding RNA from Onchocerca ochengi, 219 nucleotides. NCBI's taxonomy places the organism in Eukaryota, Metazoa, Nematoda, Chromadorea, Rhabditida, Onchocercidae. The record is from Rfam.
CUGAAUACUCGUGCAUGGAAUAAUGAAAUAGGAUCUCGGUUCUAUUUUGUUGGUUUUCUGAUCUGAGAUAAUGGUUACGAGGGACGGACGGGGGCAUUCGUAUCGCUGCGUGAGAGGUGAAAUUCUUGGCGUGAGAGGUGAAAAAAAAAAUUACUAUUGCGAAAAUUCUCGAGAACAAAAUAUGUUUUGAACACCUGGAAUUCCCAGGCCGUUUCGAUC